Molecule: long non-coding RNA, 726 nt
Filed under: Mustela putorius furo (domestic ferret)
Lineage: Eukaryota; Metazoa; Chordata; Mammalia; Carnivora; Mustelidae
Description: lncRNA (ENSMPUG00000029680.1)
Source: RNAcentral
ACAAAUAAAAAGGGAAAACAAAGCAGAAUUUCGAAGCCAAAAGAAGAUCCUUGGUGCUGCGGGAUCCUAGAAGACACACAGGUGCAGAGAGUCCCAGUCGUUUCGGAACUUGGUUAUUUCAUUUGUGUGGUCUCCAAAUCCAGCAUCUCUUUCCUUGUGAUCAUUCUGGUUUGUAAAGGACUGAAACAAAGGCUUUCCUCACACCUUUCUCAAUCAUGGAGCAGAAGGAAAUGCAAUAUUCCCAGGGCCUGGAAGUCGGCACCCCUUCUCUUCCAGGAGGUGAAGGAGAGAGUUCCAGCUGUCCAAACAGUGAGGCAGAGACCUCUCUUUUACCUCAAGACUGAAGGGAAUUUUACUUUACUCUGCGUAGAAGUCCUGAAGUCCAAUGUGAACACAAAAUAGGAUUUAAAAAUCUGCUUCCAGGAAAACUUCUGUGGUUACAGGAACCAUAACUGCUUGCUCUCACUCUCUGCUUCAAAAGACACACUCCCCACUCCCCAACCCCUUGGCCUUUGUCAUGUGUGAACAAAAUGUAUCCAUCCAUUCAUGUAAUCUUAUUCUUACCUUUGCUUGAAAAUGCACCAAUAAUGUUUGCUCAUUUUAAUUGUCAUUUCAAAUAAAUUUUCCAGAAUGAAAGGGCAUGAUUAUGAUCUGACUCUCAAAUUUCUAUUAAAAAAUUCAGAUUACUCGCCAGAAAUCCAGGACCUUCUCACACCAGAAAAAAAC